GUUAUAAUAGCUUAAUUUAUCAAAAGCAUUGGUCUUGUAAACCAAAGAUUAAAUAUAAAUAUUUUUAUAACC
This 72-nucleotide transfer RNA is filed under the name Cirroteuthis muelleri. RNAcentral's name for it is "tRNA-Thr". It matches the Rfam family "tRNA". Rfam says of the family: Transfer RNA (tRNA) molecules are approximately 80 nucleotides in length. Their secondary structure includes four short double-helical elements and three loops (D, anti-codon, and T loops). Lineage: Eukaryota; Metazoa; Mollusca; Cephalopoda; Octopoda; Cirroteuthidae. The record is from RNAcentral.